UGUGAAAUAGAGCCACAGUCCAGGAAAGGCCUGGCACAAGAGAAAUAAGUGCUGGACAUGGAAUAUCCUCAAUGUGAAAAAAAAAAAGAAUAAAGGGAAGGGUACAAAAAGGAGACCACCUCCGGGGGCUCACAGCUGCACAAAUUGUAUUGACACAGUGCUUGGGGAUUGCUUAGUGCAUGGAGGUUCUUGCUUGUCACCAAAGUGGCCGUGCAGAGUGGUCAGACAAGUCAGGCAGUGAAUGCAUGCACAUUAAUGUUUGCUGUCACUGAAGUUGCAAAACAAAAGCAGACAGAUCAUUCCAGGACUUGGCCUCCUUAUCUCCACCUACCACAGCCUAUAAAGUUGCAUAAGAAAACAGAACAGAAUGGGAAGAAAUCUGAGGUGGAAAUCUGAAGAGAAAUGAAGUAGUUGAAGCAAAAACAAGGGACGAAGUUUUCCCCAGAAUGCAAAUUUAAGGUAAUGGCAAAGUAGUUCUGUGCAAGCCUCCAAUCCUGACUUCAGUUCCUGCCCAACUUAGGCCAAAAGAAGUUAAAAUUAAGGAGGCUUCUUUUGUGGUUUGUCACAUACUCUGUGAUUAUGGACACUCAAAAAGCUCAUUCUACUACAAGACUCAAGGAUGUGCAUGCACCCUGCUGGAAGACUUCCUUGUUUCAUGCACAUAAUUCCAGUAUGCAAAAAGGUAAUGACUGAGAAAAGGAGAUGUUCCCCUUGUGGCUUAGUGGUGACAAAAGGGUUAAUCAUCUCCCCAGCAGGGUCACACUAAAGCCCAUGCAAUUCCCAGCCUUCACCAAGCAGCACAGUGGGAAGAGGAGAUGGGGUAGAGUGGGGGUUAGGGUCAGGGUUAGGUCCCUGCAGAGGUCUGUUGUGUGGCAGAGAAGAUGAAGGGGCUCCAAAGGGCUUUUGUUCUGUUGGAAUCCCUGACUUCUUCCUUAAAAAAGUGGAGAAAUUUUAUCUGGGAGACAUGAGCAUCUACUCAGUGACUUCUCAGAGCAUGGGACGAGCAACUCACUGGUGUCUUGCCAGGACCUGGCUGCAGACUGCUCAUUCAAGGAGAGCAUCCUGCUUUGUGGACUGGAAUGAGAAGUCUCCCCAGCUCUGAUCCAGAAUUUGAGGACUCAGAGGAUGGAGCCUGCUGCCAUGCAUUGCAAGCCCAGCCCAGCCAGCCUCCAAGGGCCAUUGGGCCACUGCACUGAUGUUGCGAGGUGGUAACAAAGGAUGCAGGAAGUCCUUAUGAGGAGGAUGCUGUGAUGAGGAAGUGAAUGAGAUGAGCUGUUAAUAAAAGAC
Molecule: long non-coding RNA, 1287 nt
Organism: Gallus gallus (chicken)
Lineage: Eukaryota; Metazoa; Chordata; Aves; Galliformes; Phasianidae
Source: Ensembl